CAGUAGCCGCGGGAAUACGGAGGGUGCAAGCGUUAAUCGGAAUUACUGGGCGUAAAGCGCACGCAGGCGGUCUGACAAGUCAGAUGUGAAAUCCCCGGGCUUAACCUGGGAACUGCAUUUGAAACUGUCAGGCUGGAGUCUUGUAGAGGGGGGUAGAAUUCCAGGUGUAGCGGUGAAAUGCGUAGAGAUCUGGAGGAAUACCGGUGGCGAAGGCGGCCCCCUGGACAAAGACUGACGCUCAGGUGCGAAAGCGUGGGGAGCAAACAGGAUUAGAUACCCCGGUAGUCCCUGUCUCUUAUAA
This 301-nucleotide ribosomal RNA is filed under the name uncultured bacterium. RNAcentral describes it as "partial 16S ribosomal RNA". It matches the Rfam family "Bacterial small subunit ribosomal RNA", at positions 509 to 809 of the family's 1533-position model. The record is from RNAcentral.